Molecule: ribosomal RNA, 765 nt
Filed under: uncultured Streptococcus sp.
Lineage: Bacteria; Bacillati; Bacillota; Bacilli; Lactobacillales; Streptococcaceae
Description: bacterial SSU rRNA
Rfam family: Bacterial small subunit ribosomal RNA
Source: RNAcentral
GACGAACGCUGGCGGCGUGCCUAAUACAUGCAAGUAGAACGCUGAAGAGAGGAGCUUGCUCUUCUUGGAUGAGUUGCGAACGGGUGGGUAACGCGUAGGUAACCUGCCUUGUAGCGGGGGAUAACUAUUGGAAACGAUAGCUAAUACCGCAUAACAAUGGAUGACACAUGUCAUUUAUUUGAAAGGGGCAAUUGCUCCACUACAAGAUGGACCUGCGUUGUAUUAGCUAGUAGGUGAGGUAACGGCUCACCUAGGCGACGAUACAUAGCCGACCUGAGAGGGUGAUCGGCCACACUGGGACUGAGACACGGCCCAGACUCCUACGGGAGGCAGCAGUAGGGAAUCUUCGGCAAUGGGGGCAACCCUGACCGAGCAACGCCGCGUGAGUGAAGAAGGUUUUCGGAUCGUAAAGCUCUGUUGUAAGUCAAGAACGAGUGUGAGAGUGGAAAGUUCACACUGUGACGGUAGCUUACCAGAAAGGGACGGCUAACUACGUGCCAGCGGCCGCGGUAAUACGUAGGUCCCGAGCGUUGUCCGGAUUUAUUGGGCGUAAAGCGAGCGCAGGCGGUUUGAUAAGUCUGAAGUUAAAGGCUGUGGCUCAACCAUAGUUCGCUUUGGAAACUGUCAAACUUGAGUGCAGAAGGGGAGAGUGGAAUUCCAUGUGUAGCGGUGAAAUGCGUAGAUAUAUGGAGGAACACCGGUGGCGAAAGCGGCUCUCUGGUCUGUAACUGACGCUGAGGCUCGAAAGCGUGGGGAGCGAACAGG